This 253-nucleotide ribosomal RNA is filed under the name uncultured bacterium. RNAcentral describes it as "partial 16S ribosomal RNA". It matches the Rfam family "Bacterial small subunit ribosomal RNA", at positions 524 to 776 of the family's 1533-position model. The record is from RNAcentral.
UACGUAGGGUGCAAGCGUUAUCCGGAAUUAUUGGGCGUAAAGAGCUCGUAGGCGGUUUGUCGCGUCUGCUGUGAAAACUGGAGGCUUAACCUCGAGCUGUCGGCGGAAACCAUCUGGCUAGAGUCCGGAAGAGGAGAAUGGAAUUCCCGGUGUAGCGGUGAAAUGCGCAGAUAUCGGGAAGAACACCCGUGGCGAAGGCGGUUCUCUGGGACGGUACUGACGCUGAGACGCGAAAGCGUGGGGAGCGAACAGG